This 78-nucleotide transfer RNA is filed under the name Chloroflexota bacterium. RNAcentral describes it as "Chloroflexi bacterium tRNA-Pro". It matches the Rfam family "tRNA". Rfam says of the family: Transfer RNA (tRNA) molecules are approximately 80 nucleotides in length. Their secondary structure includes four short double-helical elements and three loops (D, anti-codon, and T loops). Further hydrogen bonds mediate the characteristic L-shaped molecular structure. tRNAs have two regions of fundamental functional importance: the anti-codon, which is responsible for specific mRNA codon recognition, and the 3' end, to which the tRNAs corresponding amino acid is attached (by aminoacyl-tRNA synthetases). tRNAs cope with the degeneracy of the genetic code in two manners: having more than one tRNA (with a specific anti-codon) for a particular amino acid; and 'wobble' base-pairing, i.e. permitting non-standard base-pairing at the 3rd anti-codon position. Lineage: Bacteria; Bacillati; Chloroflexota. The record is from RNAcentral.
CGGGGUAUGGCGCAGUCCGGCUAGCGCGCUUGCAUGGGGUGUAAGAGGUCCCCGGUUCGAAUCCGGGUACCCCGACCA